RNAcentral lists this ribosomal RNA (551 nucleotides) under Hexagonia apiaria. RNAcentral's name for it is "SSU rRNA". It matches the Rfam family "Bacterial small subunit ribosomal RNA", at positions 372 to 965 of the family's 1533-position model. Lineage: Eukaryota; Fungi; Basidiomycota; Agaricomycetes; Polyporales; Polyporaceae. The record is from RNAcentral.
CGGGGGCUUUUUUACCUCGCUAUUCGCGUCAUAGUAAUUAUAUUAAAAUCUCAUCAUGUCGUAAGGGAAAAUAAUGAUAUUACCUUACUAUUAGUGUCGUCCAAAUCUGGUGCCAGAAGACUCGGUAAGACCAGAGACGCAAACGUUAAUCAUCAUAAACAGGCGUAAAGGGUUUGUAGGCAGCUCCCACCAGACUAUGAUUCCAAAAUAAAGUAGUCUAAUUGAGAGCUAGAAUCAAAAAGAGGUUAUAGUGUAUAACGCCUAGAGGAGGGCUGAUAUCCAUAGAUCCUAGGCAGAAUACUCAGGGCGAAGGCCACUCUCCACUAAUGAUUGACGCUGAGAAACGAAGGUUAGGGUAGGAAAUAGGAUUAGAUACCCCGGUACUCCUUUCUGUAAACGAUGAAUGGUAGUCAUUAGUUUUAUAACUAGAGACGAAGUUAACACAAUAACCAUUCCGCCUUGUGAGUACUACUGCAAAGUAGAAAACAAAAAAAUUAGUCGGUCUCGAAGCAAACGGAGUGAAGCAUGUUAUUUAAUUCGAUAAAUCCGCA